UGACCCCAUGCCGAACUCAGAAGUGAAACUCCGUAGCGCCGAUGGUAGUGUGGGGUCUCCCCAUGUGAGAGUAGGGAACUGCCAGGC
RNAcentral lists this ribosomal RNA (87 nucleotides) under Klebsiella pneumoniae. Lineage: Bacteria; Pseudomonadati; Pseudomonadota; Gammaproteobacteria; Enterobacterales; Enterobacteriaceae. The record is from RNAcentral.